Long non-coding RNA from Lucilia cuprina (Australian sheep blowfly), 597 nucleotides. RefSeq lists it as uncharacterized. The record is from RefSeq and is a predicted model, not a curated record. The transcript has 3 exons. NCBI's taxonomy places the organism in Eukaryota, Metazoa, Arthropoda, Insecta, Diptera, Calliphoridae.
CUUAUUCUCAUAUCAAGUAUCUCUAAAGGAAAUUUCAUAUCAAAAUUCGUAUGAAAAUUCUCAUACAAAAUUUGAAAACAACAACAAAUUCUUUUAUAUUUAUAAUCAAUUGGUAGAAAAUUUAAAAUUUAAGAUUUGUAUCUCUUUAAAAUUUACAACAAUCUACAUCAUUACAAUAACAUAAUAGAGAAUAAAAUAAAAUUAAACCACAAACCCGAGUCCAGGGUGCCAGCUUCCUAGAUAUAAUAGUUGGUUGACCCAUCGACUUUAUGCAAAUGAUCUUACAGCUGCUCGGCUUCAAUGAUCUUGCAGCUGCUGCCAACGUACAUCAAGCAAAGAGCAAAUUUUGUCAACUAUCAACUAUUCGAAGACCCAAGUAUUUUCCAUGAUGCUAGGUAUCAUAAAUGAACCAACAGUACCUAAGUGUAGGUCUUUGCAUUAGUUUGGACUAGUUCUAGUCCUUUGGGGAUCAGGGCUGAGGACGAUGUGAUGGGCCACAAAAUUUGCAACAGAUAAAAUGUUUGAAAAAUUCGCCCUCUGCUUUUUUACUUUAAAAAGCAUACAAAUUUUUAUAGGACAAAAAACGACAAAUCUGGC